RNAcentral lists this ribosomal RNA (448 nucleotides) under uncultured prokaryote. RNAcentral's name for it is "bacterial SSU rRNA". It matches the Rfam family "Bacterial small subunit ribosomal RNA", at positions 355 to 796 of the family's 1533-position model. The record is from RNAcentral.
UCGGGAAUCUUGCACAAUGGGCGAAAGCCUGAUGCAGCAACGCCGUGUGAGUGAGGAAGGCCUUAGGGUCGUAAAGCUCUGUUGUUGGGGACGAAGGGCGAAGGGUUAAUAGCCCCUAGCCUGACGGUACCCUUCGAGGAAGCCCCGGCUAACUACGUGCCAGCAGCCGCGGUAGUACGUAGGGGGCGAGCGUUGUCCGGAAUUAUUGGGCGUAAAGAGCGUGUAGGCGGCCUGGUAAGUCUGCCGUGAAAACCUGGGGCUCAACCCUGGGCGUGCGGUGGAUACUGCUAGGCUAGAGGAUGGUAGAGGCGAGUGGAAUUCCCGGUGUAGCGGUGAAAUGCGCAGAUAUCGGGAGGAACACCAGAAGCGUAAGCGGAUGGCUAGACGGUGACUGACGCUCAGGCACGAAAGCGUGGGGAGCAAACAGGAUUAGAUACCCGCGUAGUCC